AUGCCUCUGGCCGGAGACGAGCUGGUCUGCCCCAAGUUCCAGCCCAACAUCUUCGACUCCACCCGCUGCCACGACUGCUUGCGCCAGAAACAGCUGCACCACACCUGUGCCGAGCGCGCUCCCGAGCAGAGCGUCUCCGUGGCCGUGCGCAGCGACGACAAGGACACCAGCGCCAAGGAUGACUCAGAUGUGCUGUCAGUGGUGAGUAGCUACUGUGAUGUCAGCAGAGGGGGGCAGGGCUUUGAGGACGGCUCCAUCUGCAUCUUGAGUCCGGACUGUGACCUCUACCUGUGUGACGGAGACGACGACCAAAGCUCGGACAGUCAGGGUGACGAUUCCAUCUACAGUAGCUCUACUGGAACAGAGGAAUACUCCAGCCUCCUUCAUCAUCCUUCAUCUUGCCAUAGAAUGACCCGCUUGGAUCAGCCACCAUACCGGGCAAGCCCCCGAGGAUGGACGGAGAUGUCCCAGAGUCGCCGUGAUGGUCUUGGGCAGUUCGGUGUUUCUCACGGCAGCCAGAAGGAACGGAGGGAACGGGAGAGUGGAUAUUUCUCUCUGGGAAGGGCUGCGGGCAGCAGAGCUUUACUUGAUCAAAGCCCUCCCUAUAGGCAUUCAGAGAGAGGACAUCCCCUGCCAAGCAACAAAAGCCCCGAACCCAAAGCCACCAUUCCAUUUCGAAACCCAGAUCUGGGUGUCGCUUCCGAAAGGAGGACCUCUGAGUUUCAGAAUGCUGAACAAAUUGAAGAAAACUAUCCUCCAGAGCCACUGGAUCUCAGUCUGGAGGUGGAGGCCCUCGCCGGGCCCCGGGCCCUGAGUCCCACCCCUUUCAAACAAGCGGAAUCACUCAGUGGCUCUGGUCGAAGAGCUGGACGGAAUGCCCACACAUCUCCCAUACGGCAGUCUGGAAUGCUCGACUCUCCCCAAAGAGGUUCUGUCCUCUCCCGUUCUUCCUCUCCUUCCCCGUUCAGACGGGCUGAGUCCAUCUCCUCUCUAAACACAGUUGGCUUUCGGUCGGGUGGAGUUUCGCAGGGACCAGAUCGGGCAUUGGUCAAUCCGGCACGGAACAGCUACUCUGGAAACCUCCAAUCGUUUGCGAGCACCGCAGGCACCGUCAGUAGCAUCAAUAAGUCUCUCUCUCACAUGGAUCUGAGAGGCACUUUACGGAAACCCGAGACCGACCGCUCCUUCCCAGAGAACCGUGGAAGCUCAUCUCCUUCCAGACGGAGUUAUGAAGGUCCUGCUGUGAGGAAAACCGAAACAAAAAGCCCUGGUCACGACAGACAGUGUUCCUUCUCCUCAGUGGGACGCUAUGAUUCAAGAAGCCAGUCGCCUUCCAGACAGAGUUAUGAUAGGAAAACCGAAACGAAAGGUCUUUCAUAUGAGCGUGGACCUGACAGACCGGGAAUCUCCUCCUCUUCCACCUUGAAGAGCCACUUUGAUUCCCGAAGUCAGUCCCCUUCCAGACGAGGCUAUGAUAGGAAAACUGAAACGAAAAGUCUUUCAUAUGAGCGUGGACCUGACAGACCGGGAAUCUCCUCCUCUUCCACCUUGAAGAGCCACUUUGAUUCCCGAAGUCAGUCCCCUUCCAGACGAGGCUAUGAUAGGAAAACCGAAACGAAAAGUCUUUCAUAUGAGCGUGGUCUUGACAGACAGGUAAUCUCCUCUUCUUCCUCCUUGAAGAGCUGCUAUGAUUCCCGAAGCCAGUCCCCUGUGCGGAGGAUAGAGUCCAAUGGCAUAUCAAGUCAGAUUCAAGAGAGUCGACGAAGUGCGUCUCCAGUCAGAAAGGGCUAUGGAGCACCAAGCCAAUCAGAUCCAAGAUCAAUGUCUAAUGGGUGGAGCCAUGAGAGAAAAAGCCCCUCCACAUCCAGAAAAAGCUAUGAAACACAAAGCCAAGCCACAAUAAAAAAAACAGAAGCAAAAAGCUCCCUUCACAGCUACAACCGAGAGAGCCGACACAGUUCCCCAAGUAGAGGUCAUCACCAAAUCCCUGGGCCAUCAUCACUUCGAAAGUCCGAAACAAGCCAGUCCUUGAAAAACCGUGGCUCUGAAAGCCGCAGUCCUUCCCCCGUAGCUCAUAGCCAAUCUCCUCCUCGCAAGUCAGAGAGUGGGCGGAGCCCCUCUUUGUCUACAUUGAGGCGUGAGAUUGCAGACCACGCCCCUCUGAGGAAUACUGUGAGUGGCUCCGCCUCUUAUGUAAGAAACACAAUUAGUAGCAAAUCACAGCACGAUUCACCGGGACGCUGGAGAGACUCCGCCCACUCUCUUCACAGCCAGUCAGUCUCACGAAACUCCUCCCCCUCACGCCACAGUAGUGAGAAGAAGCCAAUUGAUUCCUUUAAGAAAACUGCCUGGGAAACGCCACGAGACGGAAGUAAGAAGAGCAGUGUGAGGCAGAACCUAGAAGCACAGAGCUCCAUGUCUGACAACCGACGAGCACAGAGUCGACACAGAAGCCCCUCGCCUCCGGUCCAAAGACACACAUCUUCUCAGAGCUCCAUGGACUCCGAGUCGAGUCACCUCUCGGCCGGGUCAUCGGGUCUCAACCGGGAGGAGUAUGCCAUGAUGGCUGACCUUCCCAAGGUCAAAACGGUCUUCCAGAGGGAGAGUCCAAGCCACCUGAGAAGGAUGGAGAGCAGACAGAAACGAGAGCUUUCCCGCUACAAACCAGCCAGUCACUCCCAGAGCAAAGCUCCUUCAGACUGGGAUGAACUGGAGGAAGACAGAGACAGUGGUACACUAUCAAGGGCUCACUCGUCCAGCUCCCUACACACACAGAGAGCGAGCAGUCCGGCCGCAGAUCAGACGGAGUCCGGCAAAAACCUGUCUAGAGCGUCAGGACAGAAACAGAAAACACACAGACCGUCGGUGUAUUUCUCCUGCAGCGUGGAGCAGGCCGAUGAUGAACCAAUGCAACAGGCACGUCAUAAACACUCGACACUCACCCACUAA
Molecule: long non-coding RNA, 2949 nt
Organism: Cyprinus carpio (common carp)
Lineage: Eukaryota; Metazoa; Chordata; Actinopteri; Cypriniformes; Cyprinidae
Source: Ensembl